Molecule: ribosomal RNA, 497 nt
Filed under: uncultured bacterium
Lineage: Bacteria
Description: partial 16S ribosomal RNA
Rfam family: Bacterial small subunit ribosomal RNA
Source: RNAcentral
GAUGAACGCUGGCGGCGUGCCUAAUACAUGCAAGUCGAGCGAACAGAUGAGGAGCUUGCUCCUCUGACGUUAGCGGCGGACGGGUGAGUAACACGUGGAUAACCUACCUAUAAGACUGGGAUAACUUCGGGAAACCGGCUCUAAUACCGGAUAAUAUCUUGAACCGCAUGGUUCAAUAGUGAAAGACGGUUUUGCUGUCACUUAUAGAUGGAUCCGCGCCGCAUUAGCUGGUUGGUACGGUAACGGCUUACCAAGGCAACGAUGCGUAGCCGACCUGAGAGGGGGAUCGGCCACACUGGAACUGAGACAGGGUCAAGACUACUACGGGAGGGAGCAGUAGGGAAUCUGCCGCAGUGGUCGAAAGCAUGACGGAGCAAGGCCGCGUGAGUGAUGAAGGUCUUCGGAUCGUAAAACUCUGUUAUUAGGGAAGAACAAAUGUGUAAGGAACUAUGCACGUCGUGACGGUACCUAAUCAGAAAGCCACGGCUAACUACGUG